UUUUAUGGAGAGUUUGAUCCUGGCUCAGAGUGAACGCUGGCGGCGUGCCUAAUACAUGCAAGUCGAACGAUGAAGCUUCUAGCUUGCUAGAAUGCUGAUUAGUGGCGCACGGGUGAGUAACGCAUAGGUCAUGUGCCUCUUAGUUUGGGAUAGCCAUUGGAAACGAUGAUUAAUACCAGAUACUCCCUACGGGGGAAAGAUUUAUCGCUAAGAGAUCAGCCUAUGUCCUAUCAGCUUGUUGGUAAGGUAAUGGCUUACCAAGGCUAUGACGGGUAUCCGGCCUGAGAGGGUGAACGGACACACUGGAACUGAGACACGGUCCAGACUCCUACGGGAGGCAGCAGUAGGGAAUAUUGCUCAAUGGGGGAAACCCUGAAGCAGCAACGCCGCGUGGAGGAUGAAGGUUUUAGGAUUGUAAACUCCUUUUGUUAGAGAAGAUAAUGACGGUAUCUAACGAAUAAGCACCGGCUAACUCCGUGCCAGCAGCCGCGGUAAUACGGAGGGUGCAAGCGUUACUCGGAAUCACUGGGCGUAAAGAGCGCGUAGGCGGGAUAGUCAGUCAGGUGUGAAAUCCUAUGGCUUAACCAUAGAACUGCAUUUGAAACUACUAUUCUAGAGUGUGGGAGAGGUAGGUGGAAUUCUUGGUGUAGGGGUAAAAUCCGUAGAGAUCAAGAGGAAUACUCAUUGCGAAGGCGACCUGCUGGAACAUUACUGACGCUGAUUGCGCGAAAGCGUGGGGAGCAAACAGGAUUAGAUACCCUGGUAGUCCACGCCCUAAACGAUGGAUGCUAGUUGUUGGAGGGCUUAGUCUCUCCAGUAAUGCAGCUAACGCAUUAAGCAUCCCGCCUGGGGAGUACGGUCGCAAGAUUAAAACUCAAAGGAAUAGACGGGGACCCGCACAAGCGGUGGAGCAUGUGGUUUAAUUCGAAGAUACACGAAGAACCUUACCUAGGCUUGACAUUGAGAGAAUCCGCUAGAAAUAGUGGAGUGUCUAGCUUGCUAGACCUUGAAAACAGGUGCUGCACGGCUGUCGUCAGCUCGUGUCGUGAGAUGUUGGGUUAAGUCCCGCAACGAGCGCAACCCCCUUUCUUAGUUGCUAACAGGUUAUGCUGAGAACUCUAAGGAUACUGCCUCCGUAAGGAGGAGGAAGGUGGGGACGACGUCAAGUCAUCAUGGCCCUUACGCCUAGGGCUACACACGUGCUACAAUGGGGUGCACAAAGAGAAGCAAUACUGCGAAGUGGAGCCAAUCUUCAAAACACCUCUCAGUUCGGAUUGUAGGCUGCAACUCGCCUGCAUGAAGCUGGAAUCGCUAGUAAUCGCAAAUCAGCCAUGUUGCGGUGAAUACGUUCCCGGGUCUUGUACUCACCGCCCGUCACACCAUGGGAGUUGUGUUUGCCUUAAGUCAGGAUGCUAAAUUGGCUACUGCCCACGGCACACACAGCGACUGGGGUGAAGUCGUAACAAGGUAACCGUAGGUGAACCUGCGGUUGGAUCACCUCCUUUCUAGA
This 1510-nucleotide ribosomal RNA is filed under the name Helicobacter pylori. RNAcentral's name for it is "bacterial SSU rRNA". It matches the Rfam family "Bacterial small subunit ribosomal RNA". Lineage: Bacteria; Pseudomonadati; Campylobacterota; Epsilonproteobacteria; Campylobacterales; Helicobacteraceae. The record is from RNAcentral.